CUCCAGAGAAGUGGAGGAGGCAAGGAGGUUCAUUCUGGAGAAAGUCCAGGUGCACCAGCUAAUGGUUUAUCCAAACAAGACAUUGACUUUUAGAAUCGAUAAGCCCACUAACUACCAUGAAGGAGAGAAGAUUUAUUGUUUCUCCCCAAGGCCGAGAGAGGAAGAAGAGGAGUCGAGAGGGCUGACCCUGAAGAGGAACACGGAUUGCAGAAAAGCAGAGAAUGAGGCGAUGACAUCGCCUGAAGAUUUACUUCUCCCCCCACCUAACAGUUUGCUGGAGGCACCAAGGAGAAGAGAGAAACCUGUAGGAGGCGCUGAGAAGAGGAAGACCAUGUGACCAGAAGUGACCAGACGAUGGCCUAUGAAGCAGCAAACAAAGAAAUGACAGUGAGGGAGUGGGGGACAGAGUAAAUAAAAAGGAGCUACUGGGUCUGUAAGAGAGCCUUUGAUGGGAAGAGUUUGUGAGGUAGAGAGAUGGAAAGAAGGAAGCUUUUGCUUUGAGCUUUUUGUCUGUGAUAAUCUGACCUAGUGUCAUUUUUGGAGAGCUUAUUCGGCUCAACUUUGCUAUAACUCGGCGUAUUGGCAAAGAGUUGUUUUACUUUUUAACCCGCCUUGUCGGGGUUUUGUUUGGAUGAUUAUUCUUUUUUCAUCUGUGUGAAAUAAAACCCAGUUCCUCGGAUUCGAGGAACGAAAAAAGGAUUUACGAGUGGGGUCUCCUCCUGUCGGUAACCGAGCAAAGCAUUUCCUCUGUGGGAGCCCUCUGUCUCAGGGCCAGUGGUCGGCGGCAGCAGCCUGGGUGCUCUCCAGGUAGUGCUUGGGUGUAGGUGGGGGCCCUUGCCCUCCCUCCUCUGGAAGAUCUGUGUCGGUGCCCUGGAUGCUCCUGUGGAUCUACUGCUAUUGGGUCAGACGGCUCCCCUGAUGGCAUUUCCUUGCAUUUCCUGACUCAUCUGAGCUCUGCCCAGUGUUUGGUUGUGUUCUCUAGUGUGUUGUGUGCAUGUGGGUAUGUGUGUGUGUGUAUGCAUAUCACUAAGUCAAGGGUCGCGGGGUUUCUCAAUGACAUUUGUGGGAUAUGUCGGGUCUUCUAAAUCUGUGUUUUUAAUCUAUAUCUUAGCCAUGGCGCAGCGCCACACCUGACUCUAUGUAGGGGAAACUCUGAAUUAAAUAUAUUGUUUUUAGGAUAUAAUGUUCUUGUGAAUUAUUUAUUGGUGCGUUAUUUGUGUGGAGUGCAACAGUGCAUCUGUUGUUAACUAAACUAUAAAUUAAAACUCUACACCAGCAAACCAAGGCAGCUGCACCAUUGUUGGGGUUUCCAGAAACGGGUUAUUUCCAGCAGAAAGUAGCCUACAGGUGGGCUGAUACAUGUUUGACAUGAUGAACAACAUUUUCUGUCUAAAUUAAACGUCUUUAUUAAAUCUUCUUCUGUAAUA
Molecule: long non-coding RNA, 1427 nt
Organism: Nothobranchius furzeri (turquoise killifish)
Lineage: Eukaryota; Metazoa; Chordata; Actinopteri; Cyprinodontiformes; Nothobranchiidae
Source: RefSeq, a predicted model, not a curated record